GAGUUUGAUCCUGGCUCAGAUUGAACGCUGGCGGCAUGCUUUACACAUGCAAGUCGAACGGCAGCGCGGGGGCAACCCUGGCGGCGAGUGGCGAACGGGUGAGUAAUGCAUCGGAACGUAUCCUGUAAUGGGGGAUAACGUAGCGAAAGUUACGCUAAUACCGCAUACGCUCGAGAGAGGAAAGUGGGGGAUCGCAAGACCUCACGUUAUAGGAGCGGCCGAUGUCCGAUUAGCUAGUUGGUGGGGUAAAGGCCUACCAAGGCGACGAUCGGUAGCUGGUCUGAGAGGAUGAUCAGCCACACUGGGACUGAGACACGGCCCAGACUCCUACGGGAGGCAGCAGUGGGGAAUUUUUGGACAAUGGGCGAAAGCCUGAUCCAGCCAUGCCGCGUGCGGGAAGAAGGCCUUCGGGUUGUAAACCGCUUUAGUCCGGGAAAAAGGGGUGCGAGGAUAAUACCCUCGUGCUUUGAUGGUACUGGAAGAAUAAGCACCGGCUAACUACGUG
This 505-nucleotide ribosomal RNA is filed under the name uncultured bacterium. Its description in RNAcentral is "bacterial SSU rRNA". It matches the Rfam family "Bacterial small subunit ribosomal RNA", at positions 9 to 507 of the family's 1533-position model. The record is from RNAcentral.